CCUCAGAAAGAGAUGGAGCACACUUUGAAAGGCAGCCCAAGAAUCUCAUUCUAAAUAUCAUCAGGCUGCUCGAGCUUUACGCUUAUAAUUUGGAAUAACAAGAGAGGAAGGUAGGAGCAUAGUAAAAACCUGUACACCUUGCUUUCCCUUCCACGCUCCUACACUGCCUCCAGAGAAGAACCCUUGUGGUUUGAGACCCAUUGAAAUGUGGCAAAUGGAUUUGACCCAUUAUAAAUCUUUUGGUCCUCUGUCUUUUUUCCAUGUUGUGGUAGACACCUUUUCAGGAUUCACUUUUACAAUAUCAGCAGCAAAAGAGACAGCCUGAGUGGUCACUGAAUUCCUUAUACAAGCAUUUGCAAUUAUGGGUGCGCCACAAGCAAGGAAAACAGACAAUGGACCUGCAUAUACUUCUGAACAUUUUGCACACUUUUGUGCACAGUGUAAGAUUUUACACACCACUAGCAUACCUUUUAAUCCUCAAGUACAGGCAAUAGUAGAGAAGAGAAACAGAGACAUUAAGAUGCUCCUCUGAAAACAAAAGUAAGGGGGAGCCACAGACAACCUUAGAGAACUUGUAAAUCUAGCUCUUUAUACUAUUUCUUGAUAUUUGACAAGGUGCAUUGGCUGUGGCAGGCAGGUUUUAUAACCCACCGGAAGGGCAGUGUCCAGUGCGAGCCUCUCCAUUAUCUUUAAUCGCCAGGUGAUGUGGAGAGGCCCAGAAAGUGGUGAAUGGAAGGGACCGGAUAGAUAAACUGCUUGGGGGAGAGG
Molecule: long non-coding RNA, 768 nt
Organism: Antechinus flavipes (yellow-footed antechinus)
Lineage: Eukaryota; Metazoa; Chordata; Mammalia; Dasyuromorphia; Dasyuridae
Exons: 2
Source: RefSeq, a predicted model, not a curated record